RNAcentral lists this ribosomal RNA (253 nucleotides) under uncultured bacterium. RNAcentral's name for it is "partial 16S ribosomal RNA". It matches the Rfam family "Bacterial small subunit ribosomal RNA", at positions 524 to 776 of the family's 1533-position model. The record is from RNAcentral.
UACGUAGGGUGCAAGCGUUAAUCGGAAUUACUGGGCGUAAAGCGCACGUAGGUGGUUUGCUAAGUCAGCUGUGAAAUCCCCGGGCUCAACCUGGGCACUGCAGUUGAAACUGGCAAGCUAGAGUAGGGUAGAGGGGGGUGGAAUUCCGCGUGUAGCAGUGAAAUGCGUAGAGAUGCGGAGGAACACCGAUGGCGAAGGCAGCCCCCUGGGCUAGCACUGACGCUCAGGCACGAAAGCGUGGGGAGCAAACAGG